UGAGGCCACAUUCAGAUUCUGGGUGAU
This 27-nucleotide non-coding RNA is filed under the name Rattus norvegicus (Norway rat). The record is from RNAcentral. Lineage: Eukaryota; Metazoa; Chordata; Mammalia; Rodentia; Muridae.